Molecule: long non-coding RNA, 449 nt
Filed under: Physcomitrium patens
Lineage: Eukaryota; Viridiplantae; Streptophyta; Bryopsida; Funariales; Funariaceae
Description: long non-coding RNA (PPAT_LNC012024)
Source: RNAcentral
UUAGGAUUUGGUUUAGGAUUUAGGAUUUGUCUAAAAUUUGAUUUAAGAUUUGAUUUAGGAUUUUGGAUUUGAUCUAUGAUCUAAUUUAAGAUUUAAGAUUUUUCUAGGAUUUGAUUUAGGAUUUGGUUUAGGAUUUAAGAUUUGUCUAGGAUUUGAUUUAGGCUUUUAUUUAGGAUUUAAAAUUUAUUUAGGAUUUGAUUGAAAUCCAUUGGGAUUUCAAUUAAGAUUAAAUUAAAACUUAUUUGAGAUUUAUUUAAGAUAUAUUUAUGAUUAUUUGAAUAUUCUUUUAAUACUUCUUGAAGAUUCUUUUAAGGUUCAUUGUGGAUUUUCUUUCAACUCCUUUAAGAUUUCUUAUUCUUUCUUUUAUAAUUUCUUUAAGGUUUUUUUUUAAUUUGAUUAAAGCUUAUUUAGUAUUAUUAAGAUUUAAUUAGAUUUUAUUUAGUAUUCUA